GCGAAAGUGGCGUAAUUGGCAGCCGCGCUAGACUUAGGAUCUAGUAUCGAAAGAUGUGGGGGUUCGAGUCCCCCCUUUCGCACAA
This 85-nucleotide transfer RNA is filed under the name Ignavibacteria bacterium CG1_02_37_35. Its description in RNAcentral is "tRNA-Leu". It matches the Rfam family "tRNA". Rfam says of the family: Transfer RNA (tRNA) molecules are approximately 80 nucleotides in length. RNAcentral also lists the same sequence under 5 other names. The record is from RNAcentral. Lineage: Bacteria; Pseudomonadati; Ignavibacteriota; Ignavibacteria.